RNAcentral lists this ribosomal RNA (492 nucleotides) under uncultured bacterium. RNAcentral's name for it is "bacterial SSU rRNA". It matches the Rfam family "Bacterial small subunit ribosomal RNA", at positions 28 to 521 of the family's 1533-position model. The record is from RNAcentral.
GACGAACGCUGGCGGCGUGCCUAACACAUGCAAGUCGAACGGGGUAAUUACUUCGGUGAUUACUUAGUGGCGAACGGGNGAGUAACGCGUGAGAAACCUGCCUUUCAGUGGGGGACAACAGUUGGAAACGACUGCUAAUACCGCAUAAUGUUAUUUGGGGCAUCCCCGAAUAACCAAAGAUUUAUUGCUGAAAGAUGGUCUCGCGUCUGAUUAGCUAGAUGGCGGGGUAACGGCCCACCAUGGCGACGAUCAGUAGCCGGUCUGAGAGGAUGAACGGCCACAUUGGGACUGAGAUACGGCCCAGACGCCUACGGGAGGCAGCAGUGAGGAAUAUUGGUCAAUGGUCUGACGACUGAACCAGCCAUGCCGCGUGAAGGUGACGGCCCUAUGGGUCUUAAACUUCUUUUGUAAGGGAGCAAUAAGGUGUACGUGUACAUCGAUGAGAGCACCUUACGAAUAAGCAUCGGCUAACUCCGUGCCAGCAGCCGCGGU